Mastomys coucha (southern multimammate mouse) is the source of this 264-nucleotide long non-coding RNA. RefSeq lists it as uncharacterized. NCBI's taxonomy places the organism in Eukaryota, Metazoa, Chordata, Mammalia, Rodentia, Muridae. The record is from RefSeq and is a predicted model, not a curated record. The transcript is spliced from 3 exons.
GGACGAUUUUCGCUCCUUUGUCAAAGAUCAAUUGACCAUAGGGUGGACGUUUUGUUCCUUGUUUUAUGAUUCCUCCCUGGAUUUUCAGAAACUGUCAUGGCUGUGUAUUGCCUGUUUUCCUGACCUGUUCAGCUGAAUAAAGAGAGGACAUAACCACUGGAACUGACACAUCCUAAAACAAAAUUUCUUCUGGGGACUCCUGAGGGAUGCUUGAGUAACACACGUUCCCUCAAAUUAUGAAACUUAGUAUCUGCUGACAACAUU